This 671-nucleotide ribosomal RNA is filed under the name uncultured bacterium. RNAcentral describes it as "bacterial SSU rRNA". It matches the Rfam family "Bacterial small subunit ribosomal RNA", at positions 9 to 680 of the family's 1533-position model. The record is from RNAcentral.
GAGUUUGAUCCUGGCUCAGGAUGAACGCUGGCGGCGUGCUUAACACAUGCAAGUCGAGCGAAGCGUAUUAGCGGAAGUUUUCGGAUGGAAGCGGAUAUGACUUAGCGGCGGACGGGUGAGUAACGCGUGGAUAACCUGCCUCAUACAGGGGGAUAACAGUUAGAAAUGACUGCUAAUACCGCAUAAGCGCACAGGACCGCAUGGUCUGGUGUGAAAAACUCCGGUGGUAUGGGAUGGAUCCGCGUCUGAUUAGCUGGUUGGUGAGGUAACGGCCCACCAAGGCGACGAUCAGUAGCCGACCUGAGAGGGUGGCCGGCCACAUUGGGACUGAGACACGGCCCAAACUCCUACGGGAGGCAGCAGUGGGGAAUAUUGCACAAUGGGGGAAACCCUGAUGCAGCAACGCCGCGUGAGUGAAGAAGUAAUUCGUUAUGUAAAGCUCUAUCAGCAGGGAAGAAAAUGACGGUACCUGAGUAAGCAGCCCCGGCUAACUACGUGCCAGCAGCCGCGGUAAUACGUAGGGGGCAAGCGUUAUCCGGAUUUACUGGGUGUAAAGGGAGCGUAGACGGUUAUGCAAGUCUGAAGUGAAAUGCCAGUGCUCAACACUGGAACUGCUUUGGAAACUGUGUAACUGGAGUGCAGGAGAGGUAAGUGGAAUUCCUAGUGUAGCG